Molecule: long non-coding RNA, 514 nt
Organism: Acinonyx jubatus (cheetah)
Lineage: Eukaryota; Metazoa; Chordata; Mammalia; Carnivora; Felidae
Exons: 2
Source: RefSeq, a predicted model, not a curated record
CCCCCUCUGGUGGAGAAGGUUCGGGGAUCAGGGUGGACACCUCUGCCUGCUUCCUUGCGCUCCCUGGAGUUCUGGUGGAAUUCUGGUGGAAUUCUCUGGUGGAAUCCACAUUGUCCUCCAUUUGCCCCACGCUUCCUGAGCAGCCCCUCCGUGAGCCAGAAGCUUCCAGGCAUGGAGCCCAAGAGUGGGAGACACUGACAUAGGCCUUGUCUGCAGGGCAGGCGGUGACACCUGCAAGGCUCCAGUGAGACGACGAGGUGUGCUGAUGCCAGGAGAAGAAAUGUUUCCAGGUGCUGGUUGGUGUCUUUUGCUUGGUCCAGCCCCUCUCGAGGUCCAAUUAUAUAUGGAGCUGGGGCAGUUGUCAACAGUUUGGUGUGUGUUAUUUCAUCCUGUUGGUGACGCAUCCCUUGAAAAUAAACAGCACCCUCAGAGUUAAGACAGUAUAUCUCCAAUGUAGAAACUGUCUCUUCAAAGUAUUGCUGGGGGCAGUAGCAAAUAAAAAAUGGCCAUCCUG